Molecule: ribosomal RNA, 353 nt
Filed under: uncultured Desulfobulbus sp.
Lineage: Bacteria; Pseudomonadati; Thermodesulfobacteriota; Desulfobulbia; Desulfobulbales; Desulfobulbaceae
Description: bacterial SSU rRNA
Rfam family: Bacterial small subunit ribosomal RNA
Source: RNAcentral
GGAGACAGGUGCUGCAUGGCUGUCGUCAGCUCGUGUCGUGAGAUGUUGGGUUAAGUCCCGCAACGAGCGCAACCCUUGCCUUUAGUUUGCCAGCAGUUCGGCUGGGCACUCUAAAGGGACUGCCGGUGUUAAACCGGAGGAAGGUGGGGAUGACGUCAAGUCCUCAUGGCCUUUAUGACCAGGGCUACACACGCACUACAAUGGCCGAUACAAAGGGCAGCGACACUGCGAGGUGAAGCCAAUCCCGUAAAAUCGGUCUCAGUCCGGAUUGGAGUCUGCAACUCGACUCCAUGAAGUUGGAAUCGCUAGUAAUCGUGGAUCAGCAUGCCACGGUGAAUACGUUCCCGGGCCUU